This 501-nucleotide ribosomal RNA is filed under the name uncultured bacterium. Its description in RNAcentral is "partial 16S ribosomal RNA". It matches the Rfam family "Bacterial small subunit ribosomal RNA", at positions 30 to 523 of the family's 1533-position model. The record is from RNAcentral.
AUUGAACGCUGGCGGCAUGCUUUACACAUGCAAGUCGAACGGUAACAGGGUGCUUGCACCGCUGACGAGUGGCGAACGGGUGAGUAAUGCGUCGGAACGUGCCGAGUAGUGGGGGAUAACGCAGCGAAAGUUGUGCUAAUACCGCAUACGUACUGAGGUAGAAAGUGGGGGACCUUCGGGCCUCACGCUAGUCGAGCGACCGACGUCUGAUUAGCUAGUAGGUGAGGUAAAGGCUCACCUAGCCGACGAUCAGUAGCGGGUUUGAGAGAAUGAGCGGCCACACUGGGACUGAGACACGGCCCAGACUCCUACGGGAGGCAGCAGUGGGGAAUAGUGGACAAUGGGGGGAACCCUGAUCCAGCCAUGCCGCGUGUGUGAAGAAGGCCUUAUGGUUGUAAAGCACUUUAAGCGAGGAGGAGGCUACUCUAGUUAAUACCUAGGGAUAGUGGACGUUACUCGCAGAAUAAGCACCGGCUAACUCUGUGCCAGCCGCCGCCGUAA